UCAUCAGCAGGAGAUUGUUGUGAUCCCAUGAGCACCUUAUCAUGCCCUGCAUAUGACCAAGAACCACAAGGUACACAGCUUGGAGAGCAGAAGGGUUUCUGCAGACACUGCUCUGCACUGCAGUGUGAUGCAACCUCGGCACAAGAGCAAGACCUCAGUUCCUGGAUAUCUGCUUGCAGAUAAGAAGCUCCAGACUGGCCACUCUGCUUCCCAAGGACAGGAAAUGUGUAGCCUCAGUAUCUGGCCUGGGAGGAAGGAUAAUCCAUCUCAGUAUUUUAAUUUCUCUUUCCCUUCCUUUCCAGUUCCUUCUGACUUCCUCCAGACUCAGGUCUUUCACUUCAUACCUGUACUUCCUUCCUAUUAAAAACCUGUUGAAACCUUG
Long non-coding RNA from Pezoporus occidentalis (night parrot), 382 nucleotides. RefSeq lists it as uncharacterized. NCBI's taxonomy places the organism in Eukaryota, Metazoa, Chordata, Aves, Psittaciformes, Psittacidae. The transcript is spliced from 3 exons. The record is from RefSeq and is a predicted model, not a curated record.